Molecule: long non-coding RNA, 526 nt
Filed under: Zostera marina
Lineage: Eukaryota; Viridiplantae; Streptophyta; Magnoliopsida; Alismatales; Zosteraceae
Description: long non-coding RNA (ZMAR_LNC004443)
Source: RNAcentral
GGAUUUCCGCCAUCUAUUCUUUCAGUCCGCCGAGGAAACGUUUUGGCUCGACGGCGGUUCGGAAUUUUUUUCGAUGGCGGUGUUUAGAUGGCGGAAAUCCGCCAUCUAAACUAUCCCGCCCAAAAUUUCGAAUCUCCCCCAAUUUCCAGCCCGAUUACCCGAUUAAAAUGACUUAAGAUGGCGGAAAUCCGCCAUCUUAAGUCAUCGGGGACUCGGGCGGAAAAAGCCCGCCCAAAUUUCGAUUGGGCGGACUUUCACUUAAGUGCUGGCGGCACUUAAGUGUACUUACAUGGCGGAUUUCCGCCAUGUAAGAUUUGGGGUUUAUUAAAAACCCCAAAUCCAGACAGAACGCGUUUGUUCUGUCUUGCUUUGGAGUGAAGUGCUGCCGCCGUUCUGUUCCCGUCGAUUCGUCCGUGCCGCCGUUCUGUUCCGACUCCGUCCGCCGUCGCCGACUCCGAUCUCGCCUCCGGUGGUGGCCGUUCUUGCUUUGGUCUGUCCGUUCUUCCUUUGGUCGGUCCCUUCUUGC